RNAcentral lists this long non-coding RNA (309 nucleotides) under Capsicum annuum. Its description in RNAcentral is "long non-coding RNA (CANN_LNC001311)". Lineage: Eukaryota; Viridiplantae; Streptophyta; Magnoliopsida; Solanales; Solanaceae. The record is from RNAcentral.
GGGUCAACUCAUACCUUAGACAGAACCUACAUUACCCCAUACUAAUAUGGGUAUGACUUCCUAUAUAAGAGUCAUAUGAUAUAUGUACGACUCAAGAAAAUGAGUUGCAGGAUGUACAGUAGUUCCCAGACAUGAUGUAUUACAUAUAUCCUCCUUUGAAACAUUCAUCCUUGAAUAUGGUUCAUCCAGGAUUGGAAUUUGGAAGAGAUUCAACACCCCCACACUUAAUUUACACUCAAGAUUUACCACUAUCAUAUGGAUUCAACUUCUCAGAACAUAAAAUACGAUAUAGGAGCACAUUAACCGACU